AUGUCAAAUUGCUCAUACAAGAGGCCUUCGCCAUGGGACUCCAUUUUCCCUUAUCUAUUUGUUAUGUGCAUGAAUUUUUUAUCUCAUGCUAUUAUGAAGGCAGAUAAUAACAAUCAAUGGAAGCCUGGGUGUAUUUUAAGGAAUGGCCCUUCCCUUUCCCACCUCUUUUUUGCUGAUGAUGUGUUAUUUUUCUCUAAAGUUAUUGUCACUCAAGCAACUAUUAUUGAAGGUGUGUCGGAGGAGUUUGUUGGUAAAUCUGGUCUUAAAGUGAAUGUAAAUAAAUCUAGAGCAUUCUUCUACUGCCACUAG
This is a non-coding RNA of Vicia faba (fava bean), 309 nucleotides long. The record is from the annotation of a GenBank genome assembly. NCBI's taxonomy places the organism in Eukaryota, Viridiplantae, Streptophyta, Magnoliopsida, Fabales, Fabaceae.